Molecule: ribosomal RNA, 395 nt
Filed under: uncultured bacterium
Lineage: Bacteria
Description: partial 16S ribosomal RNA
Rfam family: Bacterial small subunit ribosomal RNA
Source: RNAcentral
AUACGUAGGGUGCAAGCGUUAAUCGGAAUUACUGGGCGUAAAGCGUGCGCAGGCGGUUUUGUAAGACAGAGGUGAAAUCCCCGGGCUCAACCUGGGAACUGCCUUUGUGACUGCAAAGCUAGAGUACGGCAGAGGGGGAUGGAAUUCCGCGUGUAGCAGUGAAAUGCGUAGAUAUGCGGAUGAACACCGAUGGCGAAGGCAAUCCCCUGGGCCUGUUCUGACGCUCAUGCACGAAAACGUGGGGAGCAAACAGGAUUAGAUACCCUGGUAGUCCACGCCCUAAACGAUGUCAACUGGUUGUUGGGGAUUUAUUUUCUCAGUAACGAAGCUAACGCGUGAAGUUGACCGCCUGGGGAGUACGGCCGCAAGGUUAAAACUCAAAUGAAUUGACGGGG